This 1366-nucleotide ribosomal RNA is filed under the name Mycobacterium sp. Site2-5C. Its description in RNAcentral is "16S ribosomal RNA". It matches the Rfam family "Bacterial small subunit ribosomal RNA". The record is from RNAcentral. Lineage: Bacteria; Bacillati; Actinomycetota; Actinomycetes; Mycobacteriales; Mycobacteriaceae.
UCGAGUGGCGAACGGGUGAGUAACACGUGGGUGAUCUGCCCUGCACUUUGGGAUAAGCCUGGGAAACUGGGUCUAAUACCGAAUAUGACCGCCUUCUGGGUGUGGUGGAAAGCUUUUGCGGUGUGGGAUGGGCCCGCGGCCUAUCAGCUUGUUGGUGGGGUAAUGGCCUACCAAGGCGACGACGGGUAGCCGGCCUGAGAGGGUGACCGGCCACACUGGGACUGAGAUACGGCCCAGACUCCUACGGGAGGCAGCAGUGGGGAAUAUUGCACAAUGGGCGCAAGCCUGAUGCAGCGACGCCGCGUGAGGGAUGACGGCCUUCGGGUUGUAAACCUCUUUCAAUAGGGACGAAGCGCAAGUGACGGUACCUAUAGAAGAAGGACCGGCCAACUACGUGCCAGCAGCCGCGGUAAUACGUAGGGUCCGAGCGUUGUCCGGAAUUACUGGGCGUAAAGAGCUCGUAGGUGGUUUGUCACGUUGUUCGUGAAAACUCACAGCUUAACUGUGGGCGUGCGGGCGAUACGGGCAGACUAGAGUACUGCAGGGGAGACUGGAAUUCCUGGUGUAGCGGUGGAAUGCGCAGAUAUCAGGAGGAACACCGGUGGCGAAGGCGGGUCUCUGGGCAGUAACUGACGCUGAGGAGCGAAAGCGUGGGGAGCGAACAGGAUUAGAUACCCUGGUAGUCCACGCCGUAAACGGUGGGUACUAGGUGUGGGUUUCCUUCCUUGGGAUCCGUGCCGUAGCUAACGCAUUAAGUACCCCGCCUGGGGAGUACGGCCGCAAGGCUAAAACUCAAAGAAAUUGACGGGGGCCCGCACAAGCGGCGGAGCAUGUGGAUUAAUUCGAUGCAACGCGAAGAACCUUACCUGGGUUUGACAUGCACAGGACGCCAGUAGAGAUAUUGGUUCCCUUGUGGCCUGUGUGCAGGUGGUGCAUGGCUGUCGUCAGCUCGUGUCGUGAGAUGUUGGGUUAAGUCCCGCAACGAGCGCAACCCUUGUCUCAUGUUGCCAGCACGUAAUGGUGGGGACUCGUGAGAGACUGCCGGGGUCAACUCGGAGGAAGGUGGGGAUGACGUCAAGUCAUCAUGCCCCUUAUGUCCAGGGCUUCACACAUGCUACAAUGGCCGGUACAAAGGGCUGCGAUGCCGUGAGGUGGAGCGAAUCCUUUCAAAGCCGGUCUCAGUUCGGAUCGGGGUCUGCAACUCGACCCCGUGAAGUCGGAGUCGCUAGUAAUCGCAGAUCAGCAACGCUGCGGUGAAUACGUUCCCGGGCCUUGUACACACCGCCCGUCACGUCAUGAAAGUCGGUAACACCCGAAGCCGGUGGCCUAACCCUUGUGGAGGGAGCCGUCGAAGGUGGGAUCGGCG